This 616-nucleotide ribosomal RNA is filed under the name Chaetomium globosum. Its description in RNAcentral is "eukaryotic LSU rRNA". The stretch from base 248 to 401 matches the Rfam family "5.8S ribosomal RNA". Lineage: Eukaryota; Fungi; Ascomycota; Sordariomycetes; Sordariales; Chaetomiaceae. The record is from RNAcentral.
CAAACUUGGUCAUUUAGAGGAAGUAAAAGUCGUAACAAGGUCUCCGAUGGUGAACCAGCGGAGGGAUCAUUACAGAGUUGCAAAACUCCCUAAACCAUUGUGAACGUUACCUAAACCGUUGCUUCGGCGGGCGGCGCCGGGGUUUACCCCCCGGGCGCCCCUGGGCCCCACCGCGGGCGCCCGCCGGAGGUCACCAAACUCUUGAUAAUUUAUGGCCUCUCUGAGUCUUCUGUACUGAAUAAGUCAAAACUUUCAACAACGGAUCUCUUGGUUCUGGCAUCGAUGAAGAACGCAGCGAAAUGCGAUAAGUAAUGUGAAUUGCAGAAUUCAGUGAAUCAUCGAAUCUUUGAACGCACAUUGCGCCCGCCAGUAUUCUGGCGGGCAUGCCUGUUCGAGCGUCAUUUCAACCAUCAAGCCCCGGGCUUGUGUUGGGGACCUGCGGCUGCCGCAGGCCCUGAAAAGCAGUGGCGGUCUCGCUGUCACACCGAGCGUAGUAGCAUACAUCUCGCUCUGGGCGUGCUGCGGGUUCCGGCCGUUAAACCACUUUUUAACCCAAGGCUGACCUCGUAUCUUGUAUGAAGACCCGCUGUUCUUAAGCAUAUCAAUAAGCGGAGGA